Molecule: ribosomal RNA, 253 nt
Filed under: uncultured bacterium
Lineage: Bacteria
Description: partial 16S ribosomal RNA
Rfam family: Bacterial small subunit ribosomal RNA
Source: RNAcentral
GACAGAGGUGCCGAGCGUUAGGCGGAAUCACUGGGCUUAAAGCGUGUGUAGGCGGGCGGGCAAGUACCUUGUGAAAUCCCACGACUCAACCGUGGAACGGCUGGGUAUACUGCCUGUCUUGAGCCAACUAGGGGCGAGCGGAACAGACGGUGGAGCGGUGAAAUGCGUAGAUAUCGUGAGGAAUACCAGAGGCGAAGGCGGCUACCUGGACAAUUGCUGACGCUCAGGCACGAAAGCGUGGGGAGCAAAAGGG